This is a non-coding RNA of Gossypium raimondii (Peruvian cotton), 132 nucleotides long. NCBI's taxonomy places the organism in Eukaryota, Viridiplantae, Streptophyta, Magnoliopsida, Malvales, Malvaceae. The record is from Rfam.
AAGAUAAGAGCCAGUAAGGAUAGCCAAAGGAGACUGCCUAAAAAACCCCAUUAAAAUGGAUACUUCAAACAAAACCCUGUUUGGGGGUUUUAGGCAAGUCAUCCUUGGCUACCUUACAAGGCUCUUUAAUCU